RNAcentral lists this unclassified non-coding RNA (332 nucleotides) under soil metagenome. Its description in RNAcentral is "partial contains 5.8S ribosomal RNA, internal transcribed spacer 2, and large subunit ribosomal RNA". The stretch from base 1 to 120 matches the Rfam family "5.8S ribosomal RNA", at positions 35 to 154 of the family's 154-position model. The record is from RNAcentral.
GAUGAAGAACGCAGCGAAAUGCGAUACGUAAUGUGAAUUGCAGAUUUCAGUGAAUCAUCGAAUCUUUGAACGCACAUUGCGCCCGCUAGUAUUCUGGCGGGCAUGCCUGUUCGAGCGUCAUUUCAACCAUCAAGCCCUAGGCUUGCGUUGGAGCCCUGCGGCUGCCGCAGGCUCCCAAAUCCAGUGGCGGGCUCGUCGUCGUACCGAGUGCAGUAAACAUCCUCGCUCAGGGAACGUGACGGGUUCUUGCCGUGAAACCCCCCACAUAUCAAGGUUGACCACGGAUCAGGUAGGAAUACCCGCUGAACUUAAGCAUAUCAAUAAGCGGAGGA